UACGUAGGUGGCGAGCGUUACUCGGAAUUACUAGGCGUAAAGCGCGUGUAGGCGGGGGCUUAAGUCCGCUGUGAAAUCCCGCGGCUCAACCGCGGGCGGGCGGCGGAUACUGGGUCUCUUGGGUUCGGCAGAGGCAGCUGGAAUUCCGGGUGUAGCAGUGAAAUGCGCAGAUAUCCGGAGGAACGCCAAAGGCGAAAGCAGGCUGCUGGGCCGCAACCGACGCUGAGACGCGAAAGCCGGGGGAGCGAAC
This 250-nucleotide ribosomal RNA is filed under the name uncultured prokaryote. RNAcentral describes it as "partial 16S ribosomal RNA". It matches the Rfam family "Bacterial small subunit ribosomal RNA", at positions 524 to 773 of the family's 1533-position model. The record is from RNAcentral.